UUACAGUCGGAUUUACCCUUGUAUCACUCAUACAUUGAAUCAAUCAUGCAUUUGGCUUGGUUUUAGUUCUAAAUGAUGAAAUCAAAAUCAGUUUCAUUUGCAAAGUUGUCUUCAAGUUAAAAAUGUAAAUCUAAACCAAUAUAUUGUUGAUGAUAGCUAUGAAAUUAAUAAGCGCUACAGAUAAUACUAAAAGGGCUAUAAUGAAAAGAAUUGAACAAAAAACACGACAAUGGGGCACAAAAAGAUAUGAUAACUAACUUAAGUGAACCCCCCUCAGAUGUACAAAUGUAGAUACCAGCCCUUUUCAAAUGUAUUCUCAUUAUUAAACAAAAAUCAUAAUAUUUGCCAAAAUUGUAACUGAAAUGUGAAAUGUAGAAGAAAACAUUUUCAUCUUAUUCAACCAACUGAGAAAUAGUUGAGUAUAUAACUUAAUGCCAUCAUGACAUCCAAAAACUAGUCAAAUUGUAAGAUGCAAACACAUUAUGUUUUUAGGAUACAUCUAUUCAAACAAAGUCCAAGUUUUAAGGCUUUAAGCUCACC
Molecule: unclassified non-coding RNA, 540 nt
Filed under: Hevea brasiliensis (rubber tree)
Lineage: Eukaryota; Viridiplantae; Streptophyta; Magnoliopsida; Malpighiales; Euphorbiaceae
Source: RNAcentral